CAUGCAAGUCGAGCGAGAUGUGUUUGGUGCUUGCAUUGGACACGGAAAGCGGCGAAAGGGAGAGUAACGCGUAGAAUAUCUACCCACAGGACUGGGAUAGCGUCGGGAAACUGGCGGUAAUACCGGAUAAUGUCCCUGGACCAAAGGUGUGAUUCCGCCUGUGGAUGAUUCUGCGUCCUAUUAGCUUGUUGGCGGGGUAACGGCCCACCAAGGCGACGAUGGGUAGCGGGCGUGAGAGCGUGGCCCGUCUCACUGGGACUGAGACACUGCCCAGACACCUACGGGUGGCUGCAGUCGAGAAUAUUCGGCAAUGGGCGAAAGCCUGACCGAGCGACGCCGCGUGCGGGAUGAAGGCCUUCGGGUUGUAAACCGCUGUUGUCGGGGAUGAAAUCUGCGGGGGCUAUCCCCCGUAGUUGACAGAUCCGAUGAGGAGGUCCGGGCUAAGUUCGUGCCAGCAGCCGCGGUAAUACGAACCGGACAAACGUUAUUCGGAAUCACUGGGCUUAAAGAGUGCGUAGGCGGCUUGUCAAGUUGGGUGUGAAAUCCCUCGGCUCAACCGAGGAACUGCGCCCAAAACUGAUAAGCUUGAGGGAGACAGGGGUGAGCGGAACUGAUGGUGGAGCGGUGAAAUGCGUUGAUAUCAUCAGGAACACCGGUGGCGAAGGCGGCUCACUGGGUCUCUUCUGACGCUGAGGCACGAAAGCUAGGGUAGCGAACGGGAUUAGAUACCCCGGUAGUCCUAGCUGUAAACGAUGAGCACUAGAUCGAGGGGACUCCCACAUCCUCUCGGUCGUAG
Molecule: ribosomal RNA, 796 nt
Filed under: uncultured marine bacterium
Lineage: Bacteria
Description: bacterial SSU rRNA
Rfam family: Bacterial small subunit ribosomal RNA
Source: RNAcentral